This 252-nucleotide unclassified non-coding RNA is filed under the name plant metagenome. RNAcentral describes it as "partial contains small subunit ribosomal RNA, internal transcribed spacer 1, and 5.8S ribosomal RNA". The stretch from base 204 to 252 matches the Rfam family "5.8S ribosomal RNA", at positions 1 to 49 of the family's 154-position model. The record is from RNAcentral.
UCUCCGUAGGUGAACCUGCGGAGGGAUCAUUACAGAGUUCUUGCCCUUACGGGUAGAUCUCCCACCCCUGUGUAUUUAUACCUUUGUUGCUUUGGCAGGCCGUCAGGCUUCGGCCUUGCCACCGGCUCCCAGCUGGUGUGUGCCUGCCAGAGGAUCUCAAAACUCUGAAUGUUAGUGUCGUCUGAGUACUAUAUAAUAGUUAAAACUUUCAACAACGGAUCUCUUGGUUCUGGCAUCAAUGAAGAACGCAGC